This 512-nucleotide ribosomal RNA is filed under the name uncultured bacterium. Its description in RNAcentral is "bacterial SSU rRNA". It matches the Rfam family "Bacterial small subunit ribosomal RNA", at positions 8 to 518 of the family's 1533-position model. The record is from RNAcentral.
AGAGUUUGAUUAUGGCUCAGGAUGAACGCUGGCGGCGUGCCUAACACAUGCAAGUCGAGCGGACCUGAUUAAGUGAUUAGCUUGCUAAGAACUUAUGACUGGUUAGCGGCGGACGGGUGAGUAACGCGUGGGUAACCUGCCUCAUACAGGGGGAUAGCAGUUGGAAACGACUGGUAAUACCGCAUAAGCGCACAGUACCGCAUGGUACAGUGUGAAAAACUCCGGGUGGUAUGAGAUGGACCCGCGUCCGAUUAGCCAGUUGGCGGGGUAACGGCCCACCAAAGCGACGAUCGGUAGCCGGCCUGAGAGGGCGGACGGCCACAUUGGGACUGAGACACGGCCCAGACUCCUACGGGAGGCAGCAGUGGGGGAUAUUGCACAAUGGAGGAAACUCUGAAUGCAGCGACGCCGCGUGGGUGAAGAAGUAUUUCGGUAUGUAAAGCCCUAUCAACAGGGACGAUAAUGACGGUACCUGACUAAGAAGCCCCGGCUAACUACGUGCCAGCAGCCGC